RNAcentral lists this ribosomal RNA (446 nucleotides) under uncultured bacterium. Its description in RNAcentral is "partial 16S ribosomal RNA". It matches the Rfam family "Bacterial small subunit ribosomal RNA", at positions 338 to 795 of the family's 1533-position model. The record is from RNAcentral.
CCUACGGGAGGCAGCAGUCGAGAAUCAUUCACAAUGGGGGAAACCCUGAUGGUGCGACGCCGCGUGGGGGAAUGAAGGUCUUCGGAUUGUAAACCCCUGUCAUGUGGGAGCAAAUUAAAAAGAUAGUACCACAAGAGGAAGAGACGGCUAACUCUGUGCCAGCAGCCGCGGUAAUACAGAGGUCUCAAGCGUUGUUCGGAAUCACUGGGCGUAAGGCGUGCGUAGGCUGUUUCGUAAGUCGUGUGUGAAAGGCGCGGGCUCAACCCGCGGACGGCACAUGAUACUGCGAGACUAGAGUAAUGGAGGGGGAACCGGAAUUCUCGGUGUAGCAGUGAAAUGCGUAGAUAUCGAGAGGAACACUCGUGGCGAAGGAGGGUUCCUGGACAUUAACUGACGCUGAGGCACGAAGGCCAGGGGAGCGAAAGGGAUUAGAUACCCCGGUAGUC